GACGAACGCUGGCGGCGUGCUUAACACAUGCAAGUCGAACGGAAAGGCCCUGCUUUUGUGGGGUGCUCGAGUGGCGAACGGGUGAGUAACACGUGAGUAACCUGCCCUUGACUUUGGGAUAACUUCAGGAAACUGGGGCUACUACCGGAUAGGAGCUCCUGCUGCAUGGUGGGGGUUGGAAAGUUUCGGCGGUUGGGGAUGGACUCGCGGCUUAUCAGCUUGUUGGUGGGGUAGUGGCUUACCAAGGCUUUGACGGGUAGCCGGCAUGAGAGGGUGGCCGGCCACCAUGGGCCUGAGAUACGGCCCAGACUCCUACGGGAGGCAGAAGUGGGAAAUCUUGCACAGUGGGCCGAAGCCUGAUGCAGCAACGCCGCGUGCGGGAUGACGGCCUUCGGGUUGUAAACCGCUUUCGCCUGUGACGAAGCGUGAGUGACGGUAAUGGGUAAAGAAGCACCGGCUAACUACGUG
RNAcentral lists this ribosomal RNA (468 nucleotides) under uncultured bacterium. RNAcentral's name for it is "partial 16S ribosomal RNA". It matches the Rfam family "Bacterial small subunit ribosomal RNA", at positions 28 to 507 of the family's 1533-position model. The record is from RNAcentral.